RNAcentral lists this long non-coding RNA (1269 nucleotides) under Anser brachyrhynchus (Pink-footed goose). RNAcentral's name for it is "lncRNA (ENSABRG00000009853.1)". The record is from RNAcentral. Lineage: Eukaryota; Metazoa; Chordata; Aves; Anseriformes; Anatidae.
ACCCCAACGGGAUCCACAUGGGUGGGGGGACCCCAUGGGGUCUGAAAGGGGCACCAGGAACCCCAUGAGACCCACCAUGGGUGCUGGGAACCCAACAGGAUCCACCAUGGGUGCAGGAACCCCGAUGGGCCCCAAAAUGGGCGCUGGGACCCCCAUGGGCCCCAAAAUGGUCAUUGGGAACCCAACGGGAUCCAAAUGGGUGGGGGGAAUCCCAUGGGCCAUGAAAUGGUCACCGGGACCCCAAUGGGAUCCACCAUGGGUGUAGGGACCCCACGGGUCCUGAAAUGGGCACCAGGACCCCAACAGGCCCCAAAAUAGUCAGCGGGAACAGAAUGGGAUCCAAAUGGGUGGGGGGAAACCCAUGGGUCCCAAAAUGGUCACCAAGACCCCAGUUGGAUCCACCAUGGGUGCAGGGACCCCGUGGGCCCCAAAAUGGUCACCAGGACCCCCAAGGGCCCCGAAACAGGCACCGGGACCCCCAUGGGCCCCAAAAUGGGUGGGGGGAAACCCAUGGGUCCCUAAAGGGUCCCCAGGACCCCAAUGGGUUCCCCAAUGGGUGGGGAGGACGCCAUGGGCUCCAAAAUGGUCUUCGGGGCCCCAACAGGAUCCAAAUGGGUGCGGGGACCCCAUGGGCCAUGAAAUGGUCACCAGGACCCCAAUGGGAUCCACCAUGGGUGCAGGGACCCCAUGGACCCCAACAUGGGCACCGGGACCCCCAUGGGCCCCAAAAUGGUCAGUGAGAGCCCAAUGGGUUCCAAAUGGGUGGGGGGAAACCCAUGGGCCCCAAAAUAGUCACCGGGACCCCAAUGGGAUCCAAAGGGGUUGGGGGGGACCUGAUGGGUCCCAAAAUGGGCACCAGGACCCCCAUGGGCCCCAAAACGGUCAGUGGGACCCCAACAGGAUCCAAAUGCCUGGGGGGAAACCCAUGGCUCAAGGGGACCCCAACGGGAUCCACCAUGGGUGCAGGGACCCCAUGGGCCCCGAAAUGGUCAUCAGGACCCCAACGGGAUCCAAAUGGGUUGGGAGGACCCCAUGGGUCCCAAAAUGGGCACUGGGAUCCCAAUGGGAUCCAAACAGGUGGGGGGAAAGCCAUGGCCCAACGGGAUCCACCAUGGGUGCAGGGACCCCAUGGGCCCCGAAACAGUCACCGGGACCCCAACAGGAUCCAAAGGGGUUGGGGGGGACCCCAUGGGUCCCAAAAUGGGCACCAGGACCCCCAAGGGCCCNNNNNNNNNNNNNNNNNNNNNNNNNNNNNNNNNNNNNNNNNNN